GACUCCAGCCCGCUGCUAAGGGAUUCAUCCGGGGCGAGGCCCGGGGUCCUGUGACUGGGAGCUGGUUCUGAAAGGCCAGGGUCAGAAAAAUGUUCCUGUACACGCACCCGGAGGCUUUUGCAGGAGGCGGCUGUUGGAGAACCGGGAAAACAAGCCAAGAAACAAGAGAGAGGAAAAAGACCACGCCUCGCUUGGCAGAUUCCUAAUGGCCCAGGAGACCUGAGGCUUUACAGUGGGAGGCCGGUGGGGGCUGGCUUGGGUGGGAGGGAAGGGCAGGCCGAAGGACAGCCACUUGCUGGCCAGUGACCUUGGGUGGGAUGCUGCCUGCUUCCCUCUGAUGAGAAUGGGGAGACGGGGCGGGGGGGGGGGGGGGCGGGGGGGGGGGGGGUUGCAGGGCUGGCCUUCUGAGGUCACAGGAAGGCCCCUUCCAGCCUGAAACGCGAUCUCGGGAUGUGGGGCCUGCCAACCUGCAGCGACCCUGGGCCAGCAGAGAUGAAAGGCUGCCUGUCCCCAGCUUCCGGACCCCCGAGGCCCCUGUGCCUCCGACUUGAAGGGCAGCAAAGCUGCUGCAGCUGGCUGAAGCCAGUGGCUGGGUGCCCCUCCCCCCCUUCCCUGAACCUGAUGUCAUCCAACCCUCCCUUCCCUGUUUUUCGGAGGACGCUCCAGCCCAGAGAGGUCUGGUGACCUGCCCGAGGUCACACAGCAAGUUGGAGGCUGAGCCAGGACUCACCACAAAGUCUUUGGACUCUAAAUCCAGACCUCAUUCCCUUUCCCAGAAACUUGGCUGCCUGGGGGCUUACCCUGGGGAGUUGGAGAGACCCAGGGUUAAGGAGGACAGUUGGGAGCUGUGUCUGUUUGAAGUCACGACUUAAUGUUGAUUAAAGUGCUUUUUUUUUUUUUUUUUUUUUUGCUUUUUUAAAAAAAAAAACAAAAAGAACGUUCCCAGCCCCUGCCAUGAGCCUGGACUUGCUCUGCUGGCAGGGGAAGGAAUGCAGCUCUGGCCGCCACAGCUGCUGGUGGCCAGCUGCGGCCUCAGCUCCUGCUGCUCCCACCCCAGCAGGCAAGGGGACAAAGGCCUCCUCUCAGCCUGUCCCCUCCAGCCCCCUGGAUCAGUGGGGGCAGAGCAACAACCACGAGGCUCUGUUACUGACCAGCUAAGUCACUGUUUCUCUCUGGGCCUUAGCGCCCUUUCAGGAAAAUGGGGGCAGAGUAUCUGCCUGAUCUCUUUUUCAGCACUGUUUGGAGGUUCCAAAGAGGUAAAAUUACAGAAAUACAGGAGUUCCCCUUGCGGCUCAGCGGUAACAAACCAUGAGGAGGCAGGUUCAAUCCCUGGCCCUGCUCAGUGGGUUAAGGAUCUGGUGUUGCUGUGGCCGUGGUGUAGGCCAGAAGUUGUAGCUCUGAUUUGAGCCCUAGCCUGGGAACUUCCAUAUGCCUUGGGUGCAGCCCUAAAAAAACAAAAAAAUUACAGAAAUACAAACCUUUCAGCACCUCCUUCUGCCUGAGGGUCGACCUACUCAGAGACCCCUCCACCUUAAAUGGCCCUCUCCCCCCUCCUGCUUCACCUGGCCAGCCUCAGCUCACUCAGCUCAGCUCAGCAGGACCAUCCCUUGCUCUGGGGAGCCCCCCCUCACUUUCAACUUCCAGACUGUGCUGCUCCUUCAAAGUGUUUAUCACUGUUGUAAUUAAAUAAUUAAUUGUGUAAUUGGUUCUGUCUCCCCACUAGAAUGUGAACUCUGCAAUAAUAAUAGCUGACCUAAAAUGCUUACCCAGUGCCAGAGACUUUCCAUAGAUAAACCCGUUGAAUCUCUGUGGCAGGUACUGUUCAUUUUCCCAUUUUACAGAUGAGGAAACUGAGACAGCGAGAGAUUCGGUAACUCACCUGAAGUCAAGCCAAGUUGGAGGCUGAGCCAGGACUCAGCAUAAAGAAGUCGCUGAACCAGGAUUCAGAUCCAGACCCCAAGCUGGAAUCAUUACCUCACUGAUAAGACAGGUUCUGCUUGUUCCUUGUCCAUCCCAGCUUCCAGAACAUCUGGCCUAUAAUAAGUGCUCGUAAAUAUUGGGUGAAUGAGGGCACAAACAGGUGAUGGAUACACUGAGUAUCUGCAGAAGACCAAAGCACCAUCCCGGAGUGCGUUUCGCAGGUGCCAUGUGUGGAGCUGAGCCAUGGUGAGGGGAGGGGGAGCGCAAUACAGUGUUAAAGAUGGAUUCUUGGGCUUCUUUCUGGAACAUACAAGCCAAAGCCUGGGACAUCAUCUUUGAUUCCUCCCUCCACUUCAUCUGCCAGAGCCAUUCAGUCCCCAGGCUCUGCUUCACGUCUCCCAGCGCUCCCUCCUUUCUCCAUCCUUCAACCCCCAUCUUUUUCUUGGAUUUUCGUGCAGGUUUCUCUGUCUCUAAUUUCUCCUCCUUUAAAGUGAGCCUCUAAAAACAGAAAGCUAAUUGUGGGUGCCAUCCCUCUUUACCCCUUCCCUCACUAAUGAACCUUCCAUGGCUCCCCAUUGCUCUUUGGAUAAAGCCCAAACUCUUCACCAAGUUUUCUACUACUGGACCCCUGCCUCCACCCCUCCAAUCUCACCUCCUACUUCUCUCUUCCACAUGUCCUUUGCCUAAGCCACUCCAUGAGUAGAUGUUAAGAUCAUGCAAGCAGACAGUCCCGGGUUCAAGUCUGAAUUUUGCCACUUACCAGAUGUGGAAGUUUGUAGAUAAAUCAAUUUCCUUCUCUAAGCCUCAGUUACCACAUCUGGGAAAAUGGGCAUCAUUGUCAUACUUCUUCUUAGAAUCAUUGUAGGGAUUAAAUGAAUCCAUACGGUGCUGAGCACAGCACCUGACGCUCCCAAGUUCCUGUAAUUCUUAUACUGUCCUUUGCUACAAAGAGCAUUUCUUACUGUCAGUCUUACUACUCCUUAUGACCCAGCUCAUAUGUCACCUCUUGGAGGAAAUUUUUCUUGAUGUUCACACUCUGUUCCCCAAGUGAAAUCAGUCUCACUUUCCAGACUCGCUUGCACUUUGCACCUCUAUACAGCACUUGUAAUGGUGUCCU
Molecule: long non-coding RNA, 3037 nt
Filed under: Sus scrofa (pig)
Lineage: Eukaryota; Metazoa; Chordata; Mammalia; Artiodactyla; Suidae
Description: lncRNA (ENSSSCG00045032626.1)
Source: RNAcentral